RNAcentral lists this ribosomal RNA (254 nucleotides) under uncultured bacterium. RNAcentral describes it as "partial 16S ribosomal RNA". It matches the Rfam family "Bacterial small subunit ribosomal RNA", at positions 524 to 776 of the family's 1533-position model. The record is from RNAcentral.
UACGGAGGGGGCUAGCGUUGUUCGGAAUUACUGGGCGUAAAGGGCGCGUAGGCGGCGCGAUAAGUUGGGCGUGAAAGGCCCGGGCUCAACCCGGGGACUGCGCUUGAUACUGUCGCGCUGUGAGUCCGGGAGAGGAUGGCGGAAUUCCCAGUGUAGAGGUGAAAUUCGUAGAUAUUGGGAAGAACACCGGUGGCGAAGGCGGCCCACUGGAUCGGUACUGACGCUGAGGUGCGAAAGCGUGGGGAGCAAACAGG